AGUGAACGCUGGCGGUAGGCCUAACACAUGCAAGUCGAACGGCAGCACAGUAAGAGCUUGCUCUUACGGGUGGCGAGUGGCGGACGGGUGAGGAAUACAUCGGAAUCUACUUUUUCGUGGGGGAUAACGUAGGGGAACUUACGCUAAUACCGCAUACGACCUACGGUUGAAAGCAGGGGAUCUUCGGACCUUGCGCGAAUGGAUGAGCCGAUGUCGGAUUAGCUAGUUGGCGGGGUAAAGGCCCACCAAGGCGACGAUCCGUAGCUGGUCUGAGAGGAUGGUCAGCCACACUGGAACUGAGACACGGUCCAGACUCCUACGGGAGGCAGCAGUGGGGAAUAUUGGACAAUGGGCGCAAGCCUGAUCCAGCCAUACCGCGUGGGUGAAGAAGGCCUUCGGGUUGUAAAGCCCUUUUGUUGGGAAAGAAAAGCAGCAGGUUAAUACCCCGCUGUUCUGACGGUACCCAAAGAAUAAGCACCGGCUAACUUCGUG
RNAcentral lists this ribosomal RNA (492 nucleotides) under uncultured bacterium. RNAcentral describes it as "partial 16S ribosomal RNA". It matches the Rfam family "Bacterial small subunit ribosomal RNA", at positions 29 to 507 of the family's 1533-position model. The record is from RNAcentral.